GACGAACGCUGGCGGCGUGCCUAAUACAUGCAAGUCGAGCGGGCCUCCGGAGGUGCUUGCACCUCCGGAAGGCCAGCGGCGGACGGGUGAGUAACACGUGGGCAACCUGCCUUUGAGGCCGGGAUAACACCGGGAAACCGGUGCUAAUACCGGAUGCGUCCCCUUUCGCGCCUGCGAGAGGGGAGAAAGACGGUCUUUAAGGCCGUCGCUCAAAGAGGGGCCCGCGGCGCGUUAGCUGGUUGGUGGGGUAAGGGCCUACCAAGGCGACGAUGGGUGGCCGACCUGAGAGGGUGAUCGGCCACACUGGGACUGAGACACGGCCCAGAAUCCUGCGGGAGGCAGCAGUAGGGAAUCAUCCGCAAUGGGCGAAAGCCUGACGGUGCAACGCCGCGUGAGUGAGGAAGGUUUUCGGAUCGUAAAGCUCUGUUGUGAGGGAAGAACAGCUUCCGGAGGAAAUGCCGGAGGUUUGCCGGUACCUCACCAGAAAGCCCCGGCUAACUACGUGCCAGCCGCCGCAGUAA
RNAcentral lists this ribosomal RNA (521 nucleotides) under uncultured bacterium. RNAcentral's name for it is "partial 16S ribosomal RNA". It matches the Rfam family "Bacterial small subunit ribosomal RNA", at positions 28 to 523 of the family's 1533-position model. The record is from RNAcentral.